Molecule: long non-coding RNA, 1089 nt
Organism: Pectinophora gossypiella (pink bollworm)
Lineage: Eukaryota; Metazoa; Arthropoda; Insecta; Lepidoptera; Gelechiidae
Exons: 2
Source: RefSeq, a predicted model, not a curated record
AUAAUCCUCCAGCGCGCGGAAUUUUAUUGUUCUUUAUUCUUUAAUGUUUUUAAAUAGAUAUUUGUCAAACACGUCUGAACAAAACAUCCUUAAAAUUAUUAAUUAUUUAAGAAGGAAUAUAGCAAUGUCCAAAGAAGACGAUAUUUUUUUUGUAGAAAAGCAUUUAUUUUUUAAAGAACCUACUAAACAAUUUAAGUCAUGGUUUGAGGAAGCUCGUAACAGAAAAGAAAUUCUAGGAGCAAGUGCUAUGUGUUUAGCAACCACAACAAAAGACGGUUUUCCUUCAGCAAGGUUUAUGAUACUGAAAGCUUACGGAAAAGAAGGCUUUAAGUUUUUGACUGAUUACGGAAGUAGGAAGGCACAAGAGAUCGUAUGUUAAAUUAUUGUAAGUAGAUGACCAGUAUUAUUUCGAGAUUGGUUUAAUUUCAGAAGUAAAGUUACAUUCCAGGCUGAAAAUCCAAAUGUAGCAGCAACUUUCUAUUGGGAAAUUCUAAACAGAUCAGUAAGAAUUGAGGGUAACGUGAAAAAGUUAUCAGACGAUGAAACUGAAAAAUACUUUCACUCUCGACCCAUUCAGAGUCAAAUCGCUACUGUAGUCAGCAAUCAGAGCAUUCCGAUUGAAUCUGCAAACGUGAUGCUCGAGCGCAUGACUAAAUUGCAAGCUCAUUUGGAAUCGGGAAAAAAAGUUUCAAAACCCUCUAACUGGUAAGUUAUUUUUAAUACUGUUCCUAUAUUGUGUUACCUAGCCUUACUUUGGGAACAGUAGGGGUUAGGUGGUAAGGAUUAGAGUGUUAUUUUUUCAACAAACUACUAAAAAUAUUGCAGGGGAGGUUUUCUGAUUGUACCGACUGCUGUUGAAUUUUGGCAAGGGCGGAAAAAUCGUCUAUCAGACCGUAUUCGUUUCCGAAAAUUAAAACCGGGUGAAGUCCUUGACGGGAAAAUUUUGCACAAAGGGGAAGACGGUUGGGUCUACGAACGACUUUCGCCAUAAGUAACCUAUAACGUAUUUGUUUGUAAUUUACAAUUUAAUGUACCUAUGUUAGCCAAGAAUGAAAAGUUGUUUAGAAAAUAAAGUCAUUGUAACUAUUA